GGACGAACGCUGGCGGCAUGUCUAACACAUGCCAGUCGAGCGCAUCCUUCGGGGUGAGCGGCGGACGGGUGAGUAUCGCGUGGGAACGUGCCCUUCUCUACGGAAUAGUCUCGGGAAACUGGGGGUAAUACCGUAUACGCCCUUUUGGGGAAAGAUUUAUCGGAGAAGGAUCGGCCCGCGUUGGAUUAGGUAGUUGGUGGGGUAAUGGCUCACCAAGCCGACGAUCCAUAGCUGGUUUGAGAGGAUGAUCAGCCACACUGGGACUGAGACACGGCCCAGACUCCUACGGGAGGCAGCAGUGGGGAAUCUUAGACAAUGGGGGCAACCCUGAUCUAGCCAUGCCGCGUGAGUGAUGAAGGCCCUAGGGUUGUAAAGCUCUUUCAGCUGUGAAGAUAAUGACGGUAGCAGCAGAAGAAGUCCCGGCUAACUCCGUGCCAGCAGCCGCGGUAAUACGGAGGGGACUAGCGUUGUUCGGAAUUACUGGGCGUCCAGCGC
Molecule: ribosomal RNA, 495 nt
Filed under: uncultured bacterium
Lineage: Bacteria
Description: bacterial SSU rRNA
Rfam family: Bacterial small subunit ribosomal RNA
Source: RNAcentral